This 468-nucleotide ribosomal RNA is filed under the name uncultured bacterium. RNAcentral describes it as "partial 16S ribosomal RNA". It matches the Rfam family "Bacterial small subunit ribosomal RNA", at positions 28 to 507 of the family's 1533-position model. The record is from RNAcentral.
GACGAACGCUGGCGGCGUGCUUAACACAUGCAAGUCGAACGGAAAGGCCCUGCUUUUGUGGGGUGCUCGAGUGGCGAACGGGUGAGUAACACGUGAGUAACCUGCCCUUGACUUUGGGAUAACUUCAGGAAACUGGGGCUAAUGCCGGAUAGGAGCUCCUGCUGCAUGGUGGGGGUUGGAAAGUUUCGGCGGUUGGGGAUGGACUCGCGGCUUAUCAGCUUGUUGGUGGGGUAGUGGCUUACCAAGGCUUUGACGGGUAGCCGGCCUGAGAGGGUGACCGGAGACAUUGGGCCGGGAACAAGGCGGAGAGCAGGAGGGGGGGAAGAAGGGGGGUAUGUGGAACAAGGGGGGAGAGCCGGAGGCGGAGAGGCGGCGUGGGGGGGGGCGGCUUGCGGGUUGGAAACCGCUUGCGCCGGUAAAAAGGGGGGAGUGACGGUAGGGGGUAAAGAAGCCCCGGCUAAACACGUG